RNAcentral lists this ribosomal RNA (238 nucleotides) under uncultured bacterium. Its description in RNAcentral is "partial 16S ribosomal RNA". It matches the Rfam family "Bacterial small subunit ribosomal RNA", at positions 28 to 263 of the family's 1533-position model. The record is from RNAcentral.
GAUGAACGCUAGCGGCAGGCCUAAUACAUGCAAGCCGAACGGCAAGUUGAAUAGCAAUACUUGACCUAGAGUGGCGUAAGGGUGCGUAACACGUAUGCAAUCUACCCGCAACAGGAGGAUAGCUCUCCGAAAGGGGAAUUAAGCCUCCAUGGGAUCAUGGGGUGGCAUCACUCCAUGAUUAAACUACCAGGGGUUGUGGAUGAGCAUGCGCAUGAUUAGUUAGUUGGCGGGGUAACGG